Molecule: unclassified non-coding RNA, 348 nt
Filed under: soil metagenome
Description: partial contains 5.8S ribosomal RNA, internal transcribed spacer 2, and large subunit ribosomal RNA
Rfam family: 5.8S ribosomal RNA (bases 1-120)
Source: RNAcentral
GAUGAAGAACGUAGCGAAAUGCGAAAAGUAAUGUGAAUUGCAGAAUUCAGUGAACCAUCGAAUCUUUGAACGCACAUUGCGCCCGCUGGAACUCCGGCGGGCACGCCUGUCCGAGCGUCAUUUCAACCCUCAGGCCCCCCUUCGCGGGCGGGCCUGGUGUUGGGGCCCGGCCGCUACCCUGCGGCCGUCCCCUAAAUUCAGUGGCGGCCUCGCCGUGAUCCCUUGCGUAGUAAUGCACCUCGCACCGGAGAGCGCCGUGGCCACGCCGUAAAACCCCCAAUUUUCAAUGGUUGACCUCGGAUCAGGUGGGAAUACCCGCUGAACUUAAGCAUAUCAAUAAGCGAAGGA